AUACUUACCUGGCAGGGGAGAUACCAUGAUCACGAAGGUGGUUUUCCCAGGGCGAGGCUCACCCAUUGCACUCCAGGUGUGCUGACUCCUGCGAUUUCCCCAAAUGUGGGAAACUCGACUGCAUAAUUUGUGGUAGUGGGGGACUGGUUCACGCUAACCCCUA
RNAcentral lists this small nuclear RNA (163 nucleotides) under Echinops telfairi (small Madagascar hedgehog). Its description in RNAcentral is "U1 spliceosomal RNA (ENSETEG00000021959.1)". It matches the Rfam family "U1 spliceosomal RNA". From Rfam's summary of the family: U1 is a small nuclear RNA (snRNA) component of the spliceosome (involved in pre-mRNA splicing). The record is from RNAcentral. Lineage: Eukaryota; Metazoa; Chordata; Mammalia; Afrosoricida; Tenrecidae.